RNA transcript from Hippopotamus amphibius kiboko, 2546 nucleotides. It is a transcript of the gene named adaptor related protein complex 4 subunit sigma 1, with no coding region annotated. The transcript has 6 exons. The record is from RefSeq and is a predicted model, not a curated record. Lineage: Eukaryota; Metazoa; Chordata; Mammalia; Artiodactyla; Hippopotamidae.
AAAAUUUUUCCUCAUGGUGAAUAAACAAGGGCAGACCCGACUUUCUAAGUACUAUGAACGUGUGGAGAUUAAUAAGCGUACGCUUCUGGAAACAGAAGUCAUAAAGAGCUGUCUCUCUCGAUCCAAUGAACAAGAUCAUUGAAUGCCUUUUCCGUGGAAGAAAUGCCAUAAUCAAAACCUGCAGCUUCAGGAAUUCCCUGGUGGUCCAGCGGUUAGGGCUCUGCACUUUCACUGCUGAGGAUGUGGGUUCUAUCCCUGGUCGGGGAGCUAAGAUGCCACAAGCUGUGCAGCUUGGCCGAAAAACAAACAAACAAACCAAAAACAACUUGCAGGUUCAUUCCCAGUGCUCUUUCAUUGAAUAUAAGGAUUUUAAGCUGAUAUAUCGGCAGUAUGCAGCUCUCUUCAUUGUGGUUGGAGUUAAUGACACUGAGAACGAAAUGGCAAUUUAUGAAUUCAUCCAUAACUUUGUGGAAGUUUUAGACGACUACUUCAGCCGAGUGGACAUAAAUUUGUUCCUUGAAAAAAAAAUUAAAAAUACACAUGAGCAGAAAGAAAGGGCAGAUCACCGGUAAGCAUGCUGUUUAUUGCUACAUACUAUUAGGUACAUUUCCAUUUAGGCUUUAUGUAGCUGUGUGUUAUCUAACUAUAUCUAAAUCCAUCUACAUAUAUACAGGGGAUAAUGCUGUAUAUACCAUUUUAUGACUUGCUUUUUUAUUUACCAGUAUGUCAGGACUUAGGGUACCUAUGUCAUCAUUUAUGGAUUUGCUACAAUUUAUUUAAAUAGUCCCCCCCUUGACAGACACUUAGCUUGUUUUCAGUAAUUUGCUACUAUAAAUAACAUUACCCUGAAUAUCCUAUCACGCAUAGUUGUGCCAUUACCUAAUUGUUUCCUUAGGAUGAACUUCUGGAAGUAAAACUGAUGGAUUCAAACCGUGUGCACAUUAUUACGUUUUUUGAUAUACCUAUCAAAUUACCUAUGAUCUGUAAUGGUUGAAUUAGUUUAUUCCCUCUACACUCUAAAAGUGAAUUGUUCUAGCCUAUAAAAGUCCUCUAAACUGCAGCCUAUUUCUUUUUUUAAAUCACUGUUCCAAACUCCGGGCCUUCCCGCGCUCAGGCUUCUAUGUACAGAGCAGCCUCUCCCACCUGCUUUCAGUCUGGCAGCCAGAGCAGCAGCUGUCUCUGCUAAGUGUAUUGUGUGACAGUGUCUCCUUCUCAUCCUUGAACUCUUUUCUCUUUUCCAGAGUGAAUUAGAUAUAAUGUUUAAUUUGGAUAAAGUACACAUCAUCUUGGAUGAGAUGGUGUUAAACGGCUGCAUAGUGGAAACGAAUCGGGCAAGAAUUCUUGCCCCUCUACUAAUUCUUGAUAAGAUGUCAGACAGCUGAAAAGAGAGAGGCUCUGCCAGACGACAUCGACUUGUAGGAAAUGGGAACACCAUGGAACACCCCUCAGCACCGCUAGCCCAGAAGAAUCUGGAAAACCAAACACUGCAAAACGGGCUGUCCUUCCAAAGACAUUUUAAAUAGGUGUUUCCCACAGUUCCUAAAUGGAAAACAAAACUGUUUUAAAAUAUGACGUACAAAGAAAAUUUUUCUCUAAUCGGAGAGACAAGUUUUAUGUUCUGACCAUAGGUGUUUUUUUUGUCACUCGUUUAGAUUUUGUGGAGUACUGAGGGAAACGUUUUUGGUCUCUGCUUCCCUUUGCAAAUGGAUCAAUUCAGGAAUAGCAGCAUGGGGUGGAAAGAAAAUGUGGCAGCUCUCUACUGGCCAAUAAACUUUUAAAAUUGACUUGAACAUGCAUGGCACUUUGAAUAAUACUCUUUUCUGAAUGCUUUUUCCUUAAAAAGUCAAAAGUUUACUAAACCUGUGCACCUAAUGAAAAUCGCAGAAUCAAGUAUCUUUGCCAGUUUCUAAAAGCCUGGGAUCCACUUUAUGGGUACUUGGCAAUUACGAUGCCAUCGUGUAUUAACUCCAUAGAGAAUGUUACUACCUAAUAAUGAAUGGCUAAACACUGAAAGAUAGCUCUUACAGCUAUCUUACAUGCCACAUUGUAAAGGGUUUGUCUUAUUAGUAAACUUAUUUGUAAAUGAAAUUUAGUUCAAAGUUUAAAAACAGUAUGCAAGAGAGUAUAUCUCUGUUCAGGUUGCCAUGAAAUGACGCCAUCUUCACCUCCCUUUUAUUCCUUCAACCCCUUCUCCUGGAAUGUCUUGAAGCAAAGAAAACUGCUAAAUCACUACAGAAGAGCAAUCCCCUGAUCCUCCCAAACCUGUGUGUGUGUGUGUGUGAGUGUGUGUGUGUGUAUGCUUUUGCUGCUUAGUCAACAGUAGAAGAUACAGAACUGUCUUAGGUAAGCAUGUUCGUGUGCACGUUAGCGGUGGGCGGGCAGGUACAAUGGAGGAAACAGAAAUACAGUCUUGAUACAUGAAGAUAUUUUGUCAUCCUAUGGAAUUCUAAGAGUUCUUUCAUCUACAACACCCUAUCCUCCAAGAGGACAUAAGUGGACAUUCUAGGCACUAAUUCAUUUAGUACUGUUUCUCUCGUGUGUGUGUG